ACGCCGGUAGCUCAAUUGGCAGAGCAGCGGAUUCCAAAUCCGCAGGUUGAGUGUUCAAGUCACUCCCGGCGUG
RNAcentral lists this transfer RNA (73 nucleotides) under Planctomycetaceae bacterium. Its description in RNAcentral is "tRNA-Trp". It matches the Rfam family "tRNA". From Rfam's summary of the family: Transfer RNA (tRNA) molecules are approximately 80 nucleotides in length. Their secondary structure includes four short double-helical elements and three loops (D, anti-codon, and T loops). Further hydrogen bonds mediate the characteristic L-shaped molecular structure. tRNAs have two regions of fundamental functional importance: the anti-codon, which is responsible for specific mRNA codon recognition, and the 3' end, to which the tRNAs corresponding amino acid is attached (by aminoacyl-tRNA synthetases). tRNAs cope with the degeneracy of the genetic code in two manners: having more than one tRNA (with a specific anti-codon) for a particular amino acid; and 'wobble' base-pairing, i.e. permitting non-standard base-pairing at the 3rd anti-codon position. Lineage: Bacteria; Pseudomonadati; Planctomycetota; Planctomycetia; Planctomycetales; Planctomycetaceae. The record is from RNAcentral. RNAcentral also lists the same sequence under 2 other names.